Schistocerca serialis cubense is the source of this 304-nucleotide long non-coding RNA. RefSeq lists it as uncharacterized. The transcript is spliced from 3 exons. Lineage: Eukaryota; Metazoa; Arthropoda; Insecta; Orthoptera; Acrididae. The record is from RefSeq and is a predicted model, not a curated record.
CAAUAAAUAAAAAAAUUUUAACACAUUUGUUUCAUACUUGCAGGUUCAACAAGGCAAGGAUUAUGGCACAGUCAUUGUGCACAUUGAUGACAAGAUCCAACAUGUGGAUGCUUUCCUCGAAAAGGUGUCUCAGAUUCAGAAGCUAAUAGAAAACAUCAAAACAAAGAUUGAUGAGCUUAAAAAUAUACAGAAGGAGCUUUUAGGUAUUCCAAAGGAUCAAGCAAAGCUAAGGCAGGAUAUGGAUGCUUGUACCGCUUCAAUUCAGAGAAUGAUAACCCUGACAAAUGCUAGACUGAAAGGUAUG